This 458-nucleotide ribosomal RNA is filed under the name uncultured bacterium. RNAcentral's name for it is "bacterial SSU rRNA". It matches the Rfam family "Bacterial small subunit ribosomal RNA", at positions 31 to 507 of the family's 1533-position model. The record is from RNAcentral.
GAACGCUGGCGGCGUGCUUAACACAUGCAAGUCGAACGGUAAGGCCCUUCGGGGUACACGAGUGGCGAACGGGUGAGUAACACGUGGGUGAUCUGCCCUGCACUUCGGGAUAAGCCUGGGAAACUGGGUCUAAUACCGGAUAGGACCAUGGACUUCACGGUUUGUGGUGGAAAGCUUUUGCGGUGUGGGAUGGGCCCGCGGCCUAUCAGCUUGUUGGUGGGGUAAUGGCCUACCAAGGCGACGACGGGUAGCCGGCCUGAGAGGGUGUCCGGCCACACUGGGACUGAGAUACGGCCCAGACUCCUACGGGAGGCAGCAGUGGGAAUAUUGCACAAUGGGCGCAAGCCUGAUGCAGCGACGCCGCGUGAGGGAUGACGGCCUUCGGGUUGUAAACCUCUUUCAAUAGGGACGAAGCGCAAGUGACGGUACCUAUAGAAGAAGCACCGGCCAACUACGUG